CCUACGGGAGGCAGCAGUGAGGAAUAUUGGUCAAUGGACGGAAGUCUGAACCAGCCAUGCCGCGUGCAGGAAGACGGCUCUAUUAGUUGUAAACUGCUUUUGUACAAGGGUAAACCUGAAUACGUGUAUUCAGCUGAAAGUACUGUACGAAUAAGGAUCGGCGAACUCCUUGCCAGCAGCCGCGGUAAUACGGAGGAUCCAAGCGUUAUCCGAAUUUAUUGGGUGUAUAGGUUGCGUCGGAGGAGUGAUAAGUUAGAUGUGAAAUGUCCGAGCUUAACUUGGGAACUGCCUCUAAUAGUGUUGAUCUAGAGAGUAGAUGCGGUAGGCGGAAUGUAUGGUGUAGCGGUGAAAUGCUUAGAGAUCAUACAGAACACAGAUUGCGAAGGCAGCUUACCAAUCUAUAUCUGACGUUGAGGCACGAAAGCGUGGGGAGCAAACAGGAUUAGAUACCCGGGUAGUC
Molecule: ribosomal RNA, 460 nt
Filed under: uncultured bacterium
Lineage: Bacteria
Description: partial 16S ribosomal RNA
Rfam family: Bacterial small subunit ribosomal RNA
Source: RNAcentral